GCCUCCGUAGCUCAGUGGUUAGAGCACUGGUCUUGUAAACCAGGGGUCGGGAGUUCGAUUCUCCCCGGGGGCA
RNAcentral lists this transfer RNA (73 nucleotides) under Schistocephalus solidus. It matches the Rfam family "tRNA". Rfam says of the family: Transfer RNA (tRNA) molecules are approximately 80 nucleotides in length. The record is from Rfam by way of RNAcentral. Lineage: Eukaryota; Metazoa; Platyhelminthes; Cestoda; Diphyllobothriidea; Diphyllobothriidae.